GACGUAGGGCGCGAGCGUUGUCCGGAUUUAUUGGGCGUAAAGAGCUCGUAGGCGGCUUGUCGCGUCGACUGUGAAAACCCGCGGCUCAACUGCGGGCUUGCAGCCGAUACGGGCAGGCUAGAGUUCGGUAGGGGAGACUGGAAUUCCUGGUGUAGCGGUGAAAUGCGCAGAUAUCAGGAGGAACACCGGUAGCGGCAAGGCGGAUCUCUGGGCCGUA
This 217-nucleotide ribosomal RNA is filed under the name uncultured bacterium. RNAcentral's name for it is "partial 16S ribosomal RNA". It matches the Rfam family "Bacterial small subunit ribosomal RNA", at positions 524 to 738 of the family's 1533-position model. The record is from RNAcentral.